AGUGGCGGACGGGUGAGUAACGCGUGGGUAACCUGCCUCAUACAGGGGGAUAACAGUUAGAAAAUGACUGCUAAUACCGCAUAAGACCACAGCACCGCAUGGUGCAGGGGUAAAAACUCCGGUGGUAUGAGAUGGACCCGCGUCUGAUUAGGUAGUUGGUGGGGUAACGGCCUACCAAGCCGACGAUCAGUAGCCGACCUGAGAGGGUGACCGGCCACAUUGGGACUGAGACACGGCCCAA
RNAcentral lists this ribosomal RNA (241 nucleotides) under uncultured bacterium. RNAcentral describes it as "partial 16S ribosomal RNA". It matches the Rfam family "Bacterial small subunit ribosomal RNA", at positions 94 to 334 of the family's 1533-position model. The record is from RNAcentral.